Phascolarctos cinereus (koala) is the source of this 1602-nucleotide RNA transcript. RefSeq lists it as uncharacterized. NCBI's taxonomy places the organism in Eukaryota, Metazoa, Chordata, Mammalia, Diprotodontia, Phascolarctidae. The record is from RefSeq and is a predicted model, not a curated record.
CAGCUAUAUGCCACCUUCUUAGAAGACAGAGACAAAGAGGAAAGACAAAGAAUCACAACCUUGGGAAAAAAGAACUCUGUGGUUCAGUGUUUUAUUAACUUGAGUACUACCAAGGGAGGUGGAGGUCCAUUUCCUUUUCUGUGCAGAAUUUUGGUGUUUCUGGAUAAGACCAUGACUCAGGAGGCAUGAGACAUAAGAAAAAUUUUGGAGAACUCCCCCAAAAACUUCACUCAAUUCAUAGGAAGACUGGCUACAUCUACCCUUGAGAAUUCUAGGGAUACUUCAGAGAGAUCCUGUGAGCCAGGAAGAUGUCACAAAAGAGGAGCUGCUGAGGCUUUGUUGCAUUUUGAAUGUAAUCUCUGUUCUGACUACACAAGUAGAACCAGAGAAGUUCUUAUUUACCAAAGGUCGGCAAACCAGAUUUAGUUACAAAACACCUGAGGAUGGCCCAAAUCUCUCCAUUACACAUAGGCAUGACUGCCCCAGAAGCAGGUUGUCCGGGCUACUCUAGGAGAUCAGGAAUCUGAGCCCCAGAGAAGAAAAGGGGUUGGCCCAAGGUCACCUAGACAAUAAGUUGGCAGAGCUAGGAUCCAAACCCAGGUGUUCUGAAUCUUUUGAUCCAAGUUCAAUAUGUUUUCCAUGAACAUCCUCCAUUUCUCAAACUGGUGAGCAGUUUUUCAAAACGGGAGCCUUGUUAAAAGCACUGGUAUAGGAAAUACACCAAUUUUGUUCCUGGUUGGAAAGAGGGCAAAGGGCACCAGCUCUACAAUUCCACCCUGCCCUUUUUCACCUUGCUCGGAAGUCAAUUUGCAUUGUAAUUACUGUCUAUCACCAGGGCUAGGAAAGAACCUCCUCAUUCUGGCUCCACCCAGUUCCUUUUUUGCUAAGUGGCAUCUCUGGUAUGAUUUGAAAGGGACCUCAACUCCUGACUCAGAGACACCAUAGUUAAAAGGAAUUUUGGAUCAUGACCCAGAUAAGGAUUUAGAAUGAGAGCCUUUUCUGUACUGCAGCUGGAGAAAGGGAAUUGAAAGAAUGAACUUAAAAGAAGGCUUAUCUAGCUCAAGGUUGCUUAAACUUUUUCUACUCAAGACCCUUUCCUUCCUUCUUAAACCAUGGAGUUCUUAACACUAGCUUAUUGGCUGAGUGAGACUAAAUAGAGUCUACUUUCAACUGGCUAAGUAGAGAGCCCCAGGACUGCAACUAACAGACUAUGUCUCCAUCCUCCAUGAAGAAGAGGGUCAUAACAGUUGUAUUGGAGCAGAAAUAACAGAGAAGCCAAGGACCCCCAUUUUGUGGAGAAAGCAGUUGGUCUGAUAAUAUCACCAAAAGACAGAAGGAUGUCUGCUUCAUUGGAGUCCUGCUGGGGAAGAACACGUUGCCCACGCAUACCCCUUCAUGAGUGUUCUCUGGCCAUAUGUGUUCUCUUGUUUCCUCUCCCCCACUGGUGGUGUGAUAACUUGUUGGAGAAUGUACUGUACCCACUGUCCAUGAGAAAAAAAAAACUUUCUUAACACUUAUUUUGUUGUGCUGUGCAAUUAAAUUUCUUUUGAACUAAUAUGUUCUCUGGUUGGCUUAGUAAAAAUAAACAUUUGUGAGGAAAUU